Non-coding RNA from Heligmosomoides polygyrus, 75 nucleotides. The record is from Rfam. Lineage: Eukaryota; Metazoa; Nematoda; Chromadorea; Rhabditida; Heligmosomidae.
GCGCCGGUGGUGUAGUGGCUUAGAGCAUUCCUGCCCGGUCUUCAGGAAGUGCGGGUUCGAGUCCCGCCUGACGUU